This 253-nucleotide ribosomal RNA is filed under the name uncultured bacterium. Its description in RNAcentral is "partial 16S ribosomal RNA". It matches the Rfam family "Bacterial small subunit ribosomal RNA", at positions 524 to 776 of the family's 1533-position model. The record is from RNAcentral.
UACAGAGGGUGCAAGCGUUGUUCGGAAUUAUUGGGCGUAAAGCGCGUGUAGGCGGCUUUGCAAGUCGGGUGUGAAAGCCCUCAGCUCAACUGAGGAAGUGUGCCCGAAACUGCAGAGCUUGAGUACCGGAGAGGAUGGCGGAAUUCCCCAAGUAGAGGUGAAAUUCGUAGAUAUGGGGAGGAACACCGGUGGCGAAGGCGGCCAUCUGGACGGAUACUGACGCUGAGACGCGAAAGCGUGGGGAGCAAACAGG